CUAUAAAAGAUGUAACAGAUGCAAACUGCAAAGCAAGGGCGCUUAACCCUUGCUCUUCUGAACCAAUUCCAUCCUUCACCUCUUUUGUCUGUCCCCUUUUUAUUUCUCUACUAGGCUUUUGCCAUCUAGGAA
Molecule: small RNA, 132 nt
Filed under: Salvator merianae (Argentine black and white tegu)
Lineage: Eukaryota; Metazoa; Chordata; Lepidosauria; Squamata; Teiidae
Description: ZEB2 antisense RNA 1 conserved region 1 (ENSSMRG00000023476.1)
Source: RNAcentral